GCUUUGCAAAGUCACCAGUUCAAAGAAGUUCCUUCCCGUGUGUCGGGAGUGAGAGCAGCUGAGUCCUAAGAGCACAGGGUCGGGAACCAGGUGUCCAGGGGACAACUCCUGAGCCUCUUGGGAGAGAUGAGCCCAGAGAAUGGUUCUAGAUUUCUUCUGGGCUUUGCACAGAGGGUGGAGGGGAAAGGGCCGGUCCUGACCUGCAAAGAGUGGAGACAGGAGAGAGACCCACGUUCCAGCUUCUGUGUCUACUGUCGUGGGUGCUCCAGCGUGGAGACGGGUCUGAGGCCAAGCAUCUCACAGCACCGCUCUUCCUCCCUGGAGCACCAGGGAAGGAACUGGAAACGAGGCUGGUUGCUGCUGCUUCAAGACUGAUACAGCCACCACACUGGGAAGAAGGUGGGACCAGGACGCUUCUAGCGACAUCGCCUGCACCAGCUCAUGCCCUUCGCACGGCAGCAGUGGAGCAGCACCUGGUUCUGUUUUCACUUGAGAGGUGGGUGAGGAGACGGAGACCUGGAGAAGGCGGGUGACUUGCCCCGGGCCACAGAGAGUCGGAGGAGCCCACGCUCCCUGACCGCUGAGUCUGCGGUGACCAGAUCCCGCAGAAUGUACAAGACGAAAGGCAGCAGCCAACCUGCCGCAGAGAGACCUCACACAACGCAGAGGUUGGGCCCCGCCUCCUCCUGCGAGGCCAAGGCUGUCUCGGUCUGGUAAACACGGGCAGUCGCAGGGCAUGGCAUCUGCAGGGCAGAGACCCUGAGCCAGUGUCAGUCUUAGGUUAUUACAGCUGUCCAGGGGUUUACAGUUAAGAAACAUUUUUUUUUUUUUAGGAAUAUAAAAAUAUUUAUUGACCGCUGUUCACCAGUAUUUACAAUAAACAGUAUACAGUUGGAUACCAUUCUGAUUACUACAAGGCUGUUCUUCCUGGCUUCUGCAGAACCAGCAACCCAAAUACUGAAAAGAUUGAGCCUACAUGUAAGAAAUGAAUUGGGGUAAGAAAAAACAUGCAGGUCAAUAGUUUAGAUUACAAAAAGUUUGUUCACUCAUUUAUGUCAGCAGGUCUGAAACUGCCAA
Molecule: long non-coding RNA, 1077 nt
Organism: Lemur catta (Ring-tailed lemur)
Lineage: Eukaryota; Metazoa; Chordata; Mammalia; Primates; Lemuridae
Exons: 6
Source: RefSeq, a predicted model, not a curated record